GAGUUUGAUCAUGGCUCAGGAUGAACGCUGGCGGUCUGCUUAACACAUGCAAGUCGAACGGAGUGCUUCGGCACUUAGUGGCGGACGGGUGAGUAACGCGUGAGAAUCUGCCCUUAGGAGGGGGAUAACGACUGGAAACGGUCGCUAAUACCCCAUAUGCCGAGAGGUGAAAUGAUUUAUUGCCUGAGGAUGAGCUCGCGUCCGAUUAGCUAGUUGGUAGAGUAAGAGCCUACCAAGGCGACGAUCGGUAGCUGGUCUGAGAGGAUGAUCAGCCACACUGGGACUGAGACACGGCCCAGACUCCUACGGGAGGCAGCAGUGGGGAAUUUUCCGCAAUGGGCGCAAGCCUGACGGAGCAAGACCGCGUGAGGGAAGAAGGUCUGUGGAUUGUAAACCUCUUUUGAUAGGGAAGAAGAACUGACGGUACCUAUCGAAUCAGCCUCGGCUAACUCCGUGCCAGCAGCCGCGGUAAUACGGAGG
Molecule: ribosomal RNA, 480 nt
Filed under: uncultured bacterium
Lineage: Bacteria
Description: bacterial SSU rRNA
Rfam family: Bacterial small subunit ribosomal RNA
Source: RNAcentral